This 423-nucleotide ribosomal RNA is filed under the name uncultured bacterium. RNAcentral describes it as "bacterial SSU rRNA". It matches the Rfam family "Bacterial small subunit ribosomal RNA", at positions 207 to 622 of the family's 1533-position model. The record is from RNAcentral.
AAGACCUUGCGCUUUUGGAGCGGCCGAUGCCUGAUUAGCUAGUUGGUGGGGUAAUGGCCUACCAAAGCUUCGAUCAGUAGCUGGUCUGAGAGGACGGCCAGCCACACUGGGACUGAGACACGGCCCAGACUCCUACGGGAGGCAGCAGUGGGGAACUUUGGACAAUGGGCGCAAGCCUGAUCCAGCCAUGCCGCGUGAGUGAAGAAGGCCUUCGGGUUGUAAAGCUCUUUCAGCCGGGAAGAAAAGGUUGCGAUUAAUAAUCGCAAUUUAUGACGGUACCGGAAGAAGAGGCACCGGCUAACUACGUGCCAGCAGCCGCGGUAAUACGUAGGGUGCGAGCGUUAAUCGGAAUUACUGGGCGUAAAGGGUGCGCAGGCGGUUUUGUAAGUCAGAUGUGAAAUCCCCGGGCUUAACCUGGGAACU